This 301-nucleotide ribosomal RNA is filed under the name uncultured bacterium. RNAcentral describes it as "partial 16S ribosomal RNA". It matches the Rfam family "Bacterial small subunit ribosomal RNA", at positions 509 to 807 of the family's 1533-position model. The record is from RNAcentral.
CAGCCGCCACGGGAAUACGUAGGGUGCGAGCGUUAAUCGGAAUUACUGGGCGUAAAGCGUGCGCAGGCGGUUGUGUAAGACAGGUGUGAAAUCCCCGGGCUUAACCUGGGGACUGCGCUUGUGACUGCACAGCUAGAGUAUGGCAGAGGGGGGUAGAAUUCCACGUGUAGCAGUGAAAUGCGUAGAGAUGUGGAGGAAUACCGGUGGCGAAGGCAGCCCCCUGGGCCAAUACUGACGCUCGUGCACGAAAGCGUGGGGAGCAAACAGGAUUAGAUACCCCUGUAGUCCCUGUCUCUUAUAC